CAUGUUUCAAAUGUUGACAUCGCUGUCAUCGUCCGUCCUGAAAAGGACGCAAGCUUCCGGCGACAAUCAGUGGGAGCCAUCACUUGUUGAAAUAGAUGAUGGUGGUUGCAGAAUUAGCUUGGGAUACUUCCAAUUUCUAGCCCCGCGACCUGGGCGCUUCUGCUAUGCGGCCACUGCCUAGGCUGAAAAUGUAGGAGA
Amblyraja radiata (thorny skate) is the source of this 198-nucleotide long non-coding RNA. RefSeq lists it as uncharacterized. Lineage: Eukaryota; Metazoa; Chordata; Chondrichthyes; Rajiformes; Rajidae. The transcript is spliced from 3 exons. The record is from RefSeq and is a predicted model, not a curated record.